This 569-nucleotide small RNA is filed under the name Pongo abelii (Sumatran orangutan). Its description in RNAcentral is "processed transcript". The record is from RNAcentral. Lineage: Eukaryota; Metazoa; Chordata; Mammalia; Primates; Hominidae.
GCGCGACCGUGAUUCCCCGCUCGCCGCUCCCCACCCCCCAGGGCUCCCUAAAGAGGGCCACGAGCUGCGAAAGGGCGGGAAAGGCGGUUGGAGAAGGAGAGGUAAGCGGUUACUCACUCCAUGGCUGCAGCAAGGAGAGGCGGCGGCGGCCUCGGCUGAAGAAAGACGGUGGGAGCGGAGAGCGCAGGCGUGCCGAGGUGGAUGUCGGUCUUUUCUCUAUUGCAGAAACCCACCUUGUCCCAUCCACAUCAGGACAUCCCAGCUGGAGUUCAACUUUCAUCCCUUCUGUGGCAGUUAGGAGACUGAAUCAAGGUCCAGAGAAGGUGGAGGGAUCCUGGUAUUGAGCGGCCUUUCGUCCUGCAUGGACGGCACCUCUCCCACCUCCAUCCUUUCCCUGGCUGCUGCUGCAUCUACAACGCUCAGCUUCUCCCUGGAACCUGCUCCCACAGCAUGUGACCCAGCCCUGCCCCUGCCCUGAGCCCUGAUUGUAGAGCUGACAUUUGACUCUGGCUGCCUCGAGGGCAGGGGCCAUGGCUUAGCUAACCACUCUGGGCUUCACUUUCCUCAUU